This 207-nucleotide ribosomal RNA is filed under the name uncultured bacterium. Its description in RNAcentral is "partial 16S ribosomal RNA". It matches the Rfam family "Bacterial small subunit ribosomal RNA", at positions 568 to 774 of the family's 1533-position model. The record is from RNAcentral.
CGCGUAGGUGGUUUGAUAAGCGAGAUGUGAAAGCCCCGGGCUUAACCUGGGAACGGCAUUUCGAACUGUCAGGCUAGAGUAUGGUAGAGGAGUGUGGAAUUUCCUGUGUAGCGGUGAAAUGCGUAGAUAUAGGAAGGAACACCAGUGGCGAAGGCGGCACUCUGGACCAAUACUGACACUGAGGUGCGAAAGCGUGGGGAGCAAACA